AGGUAGAUGCUGCUUUGGUGCUCCUUGGAAACAUAAUUUCAUAUGAUUUAAUAAACGCAUAUGUCAUACCUCAAGAUGUGUGGGAUCUUAGGUUAUUUAAAAGAAGGCCAUCAGUGUAAGUGCAUUUUACUUUGAUUACAUGUCAGUGGAAAAAAAUUCAUUUUGAUUCUCCAUGUCGCUUCAUUAUGGUCUAUUAAAUAGAGGAACUAAGGAGAAGACAUUUGCAUUACUCAGGACGUUUGUAUGGUUUGUCAAUUUUAGUUCACUAUUCAAUAUACGUGAUAUGUGCAGUAAACACUUUUUUGUUAGGUACCAAUGUGCAUGUGAACACUCGUAAAUUGUUGAUUUUCCUUUAAAUGGAAGCCAACAUAGUAUGUUUUAUUCUUGUGCAAGAUAAAAUUUGUUAGCAUGAUGUGCUCAUUUUAAACGUGGAGGGUUGAAAUUUCCACCCAGGAUGCAUUUACAGCUAAUACAAUGGCACUGCCAUAUCAACAGUUAACUAAUCAACCUUUUAAUUUUGGUGGUUGGAUUCUAGAAUUAUUGUAUUGGACCUUUGUUAACAUUGUGACAUAUUUUGUCAGUUGUAGCCUUUUUUUUUUCUUUUUUCAAACACUUAUCUCUUGGGGGAAUUUUGUGUUGGGAGUUGCCUGAAAAUUCUGUGCCAUCCCUGGGGAGGGCAGAUGAUAGAACUAGUUUAGUUAAUUAGCAGAGAUGUACCUUUAGGUUUAAUUUAGGCUAUAUGGAGAGAGCGGAACAAUAGAGCAUUUGAACGGUUAGAAUGGUCCACGACAGGUUUUAAGAUGCUUUUAUUGUAUUUCUUAUGUGAAUGAAUGACUGCUUUGUCAUAUCAUUCAAGUUCUAAUUUGUUCAAGUUUCAUGAUGAUUUUAAUUUCCCUUGAUUUGACCUCCUGCGUGUACUUCUUGUGUGCAGGGUGAUGUUCAUAUUUUUAAUAAAGUUCUACUUAUUCAAAAGAAAGAAAGAAAAGUAUAGCUUCUAAACAAGCAUCUAGACAUUAUUACUACUUCUACCUCAGUCUAUGGAGUGGUUUAUUUUGUUGCCUAAUUUUAAAGUCUAUGCAAAGUCUUCUGCAUGGGUCCAGAUUUUCGAGUUUUGGUUCGAAAAAGUAGGAAGCAGGCAGAAUAAUAUCAUAGAUUGUAUAAAGUAGUAUGUGAUCUCCAUUUCAAUAUUUUGCUAAGUUGUGGUAUGACAUAUGUUUAUCAUCUUGAUGUGAGCUCUUAUAAACUACUCUAUCAUUAGUAUGUUCCCUGUUAAUUUACUGCCUUAGGCAUACAGCUGACUAGUAUUUUGCUUUUCAAGUAUUAAAUCUCUUAUGCCACUCGUGAACAUAACUAGUUGGUAACCUAUGCAAUGCACGAGAAAAUUCAACAAAUACGAUAUUUAUUUAUUUAUUUAUAAAUAUAGAAUCUCAUAAUAAUGACAGUUAUUAUGAUUAUGUCUACAUAUAGAAAUAUUUAUUCUAUUAUUUAUAGAAACUAUAAUGUGGCAAUAUUCUAAUAUAGGGUGUGAAUAUGUUAGGUUUAUAAGGAAUCUUUAUAGAAUUUAAACUCAUUUGAAAAACAUAUAUUACAGAAAAAAAUUUGGGCUUUCAAAAUUUAUGUCAUCUAUAGAAGAAAUCAACAAAAGUCAAAGACUAUGCUUUUAUAUACAUUAUAGAUUAUAUCUUAUUUGGGUCAUGAUGAUUUGUCAUUAAGAGGUUUCUUGGACAUAGUUACCAUGGUUUUGGUUUCAAUUAUGGCAUUUGGUUGUGUGUUUUUUCCUUGCGACUAUAUACUUUGCUAAAUCAAUGCAACAUAUUGGAGUGGAAAGAUUUAAUUCCUUACCGUGUAUUCUACAUCGCUUACAAUUCUUUUCUAUACUGUGAAGAUCAUAACUUGCGUGCAAAUGUCAUGCUUGUAGGAACCAAUACCUGUCAUGCAACUUGUAAGGGAAACUGCAGUUGUUAUGUAGGAGUUCGCACGGUCUUGGUAAUCAAAAUAUCUUUAAUAUGAUAUCAAAUGUGUUACAAUCAUAAUUCAAUUUUGGUUGGUAUCAUUUCUAGAAUUGUAUUGAAAUAGAGAGAUGAGUAUUAGGUGUCUGGAAAAAUUAUUUGACCCCUAUUAGGUCACUUGUACUCUUCAUGGUCAAUGAUUGAUGGCAACAGGCAGGCCAAGUGUUGGCUGGUAGCCAAUGGUUGGCAACGGGCAUGUAAUGAUGGCCUGCUAGGAAUCAGGUGGACCUUGUGACAGCUGGUGGUUGGCAAGUGGUGGCCAAUGGGCAUCUAAGUAUGGUAUGGAGUACAUUUCUGGACUUAAUGUGACUUUCUUUAAUAUGGAUGCUUAAUGGUGCCAUUGUUAAUAUCUCUAUAUGAAUGAUACCUGUUUUUAAUUUUAUUGUUAUUUGUUAUGUAAUGAGUUCUACAUAUUGUGUCACUUUAUGAUGAAUUAGAAUAUAAUAGUCUAUAUAAGCCAAGUAUGUACCCCAAGAAAGGGAGAUUAUUUUGAUGAAUAAAGUUUCUUUUGAAAUUGAGUCCAUGGUUUGGUGCCGACUCCAGCCAACCCUAAGUUUUGACUCCUAGUGGUUUUUUUCCUUGCUUGGUGCUAUUCAAGCAAGCCUAGGUCCUGACUGUUCUCCAUGUUAGGAAACUAUGGGAAAUAGCUUGACUUAAUGCAUAUGAUCCAGCUAGUGCAUCAUGUAUGCAGCACCAGUAAGCAUCAGUAAGUAAAGUUUUGUAUGAGUAAGCACCAGUAACAACAACAGUGCAGCUUUAACACUUGGUACUAGACACCAGCAGCUUAUUAUAAGAGGCAGUUUAUUAGUAAAGUUUUGUAUCAUCUUUGUAAUUGAAGGUUAGAGUCAUGUGCUUUUUAAUUGAUUGUGUCAUGUGCUUAAUUGUUGAUUAGUUAGAAGCCAUGUGCUUAACAGUUAUUUAGUUAGAUCAUUAGAUCUGUGUAGUUUGCUGGAAGUUAGUGUUAGUCAGUUAGCUGUGUUCAUGAAUUGUAUGAAGGUGUGGAGAUGGAUUGUAAGAGGCAUGCAAUGAGAAUUCAGUCUGUUCUUAAUCCUAUUCUUCUCUAAUCCCUGUACUUUCUCUGUAUUCUAUCUCAACUCUUCUAAGGCAUGGCAUGAGAUCUCUUUUAGGUAAUCUGUAAUCCCUCUCUUCUUUUCUGAUUCUUUUAUCUUUUGGGAGGGUGUGAGAUCUGAUUUUAUUUAUGGUGCCCUUCUAGAACUAGAAUUGACAUCCUUGCCAUGUUUUGUAUCAGAACGACUGCUCAUACAAUAAGAAUUUGCAGGCCUGAAAAAGUGCAUGAGACAUGUUUUUAGGACAUGAGAUAUUUAUUUUGCUGAUGCUCCAGACCAUGCAUGAUUUUUGGUAACAGUAUGCACAUAUUGGUAUAUAAUCUUGGACUUACCUUAAAAAAACAUAUAUAGCGUAUGGAAAUGACUAGAAAUAUUCAUUAGUUAAUUUUUGGUAAGCAUACCACCAAAUUACACCAAUGUGCUCUAGCUCGAAUAGCACUUUUCUCCCUCAAUAGUGGGAUAGAGGGUGAGGUUGUGGGAGGGAAUUUGCAGGCUAGCACAGUUCACCACCAUCCUCUUUUUUCUUCUUCUUCAGCGUUCUACAUCAUCUGCGUUCUCCAGAUCCAGAUCUUCUUCUUCCUCAGAUCCAGUUUUUAUCUUCUUCUUUGGCGUUCUACAUCAUGUGCUUUUGCCAUCUCCAGAUCCAGUUUUCUCCAGGUUGUCUUCUUCUUCUUCUUUUGAUCCAGAUCUUCUUUUCCUUCUCUUCUCCUUUUCUCCUCCUUCCAGGUGGAUAUUCUGUCCAGGUAAGCACACCAUCCCUUGAAUCUCAAGUGUUAGAAACUCAAGUUCUACAUCAAACUCGAGUUUCAGAGUCUCGAGAUGCUAGUUUUUUAUAUAGUUUUGCAACUUGACAAUUAAUGAAAAUGUUUAAAAAAUAAUGUUAAAUGCAAAAAAAAUUCAAGGUUGUGGAUUUAAAACUCACAUGGUGUGGCUUUCCAUAAAAAAAAGAAAAAAAGAAAAAACUAAUUUAGAAUGAUGAUGAAACGCUUCUGCUUUGUCAUUACUAAAUUUAGAAUGGCAACAUAAAACUCCUUUUCCUUGAUCUCGUCUUUAAUUAGCCUCCUUCCCAUAAAAAAUUAUCAUGUAUGUUUCCUCUACUUAUUAUUGAUACUGUCCUCAUUAAACUUUGAUUUUCUAAUCAAUCCUAGACUUUUAAGAUUCUCUUAUUUUGAAGUUUCUUUUGUAGUUUUUAAUUCAUCUUAGUUUUGUUAUACUUGCUUUUUGUAGAGAACUAACCCCAGCUGAAAUUGAUGUAUUUAGCUGGAGUGGAGUGGCUCGCUGCUUGCUCUUCUUGCCUGCCAUAUGUCUUUGAAGAGAUAUUAUUAAUCAAAUUUAUGUUGCAUUCCUUCACAUUGUAGCAGGGGUGAUGAAUAUAAUGUAGAUUAAUUGAGAGGAUUAAAUUUCCAAUUUGUCUGAAUUGGAGCAGCAAACAGGAUAUGUGCUGGGGUCAAUUGCCUUGCCUCUUCAUGUGGCUGACUUAAGCAGUCCUAAAAUCAUCAAGCCUUUGGCCGAUUCCAAUUAGGAUGUUAGCUACAGCAAAGGGAGGGGUACACAACCCCGUGAGACUAUCUGAAAUUAUCUUAGAAUCACAUUCAAAACACACAUCUCGUAUACAUCUCCCAAGCAAAGAGAACUCUUUCCACCGUGGCCUUUCCUUCGAUUUCCAAAGGUCCCAGUGGUUGGAAAAUCAGUUUACUCAUAGCUGCUGUAACUCUCCCCUCAUGGUCUCUAAUCACCAUGCCUACACCAGCACGCCGAACUUGAUUAAAUAUUGCACCAUUCACAAGAACUAGUGAAUGCCAUCAGUGUUUAUUCGCUUUGCAUUGAUUAUCUUCUUGUAGCUAAAUCAGCAAUUGUGAGUUUUGAAGUUUCCUUCUUAUUUUUGUGUUUUUAAUUUUGCUGCCCCAAUCCAUUUAAUUCUUUUAUCAUUUAUUUGACAGUUUAUGUGACAUGGGUUGUUUGCUUUCUUUAUCUGUGGUUCUUAUUUUACUUCUAUGAUGUAUGUUGAGUAUUGGUGUGAAGAGCAUUUCAACAGCCUCAUAAUGGAGAUUCCAGAUUUCUCCCAUAAUGAAAUUAUUUGCUCAAUUCUUUAUUAAACAUUUGAUGUCAGCUGAUGCUACCAAUGGAAAUCAAAGCUGCUGAUUCUGGUUUUUGUUCUUUUCUGACCUAACACCGUUACUUGCCUUUUUUUAUUUAUUUAUUGUUUAUCAUCUCUCUCUCAUGCAGAGAAUCAUAAAAACUUGUCUGAUGCUUGGAGAAUGAACCAGGUACUAGUUAUUGCCUUUGCUAAGCAUUUUUAUAACUACAAGGUGCUCUAUAUAUCAAUCUUAAAAUACUAUAUGAUUGAUAUUCAAGGUAGUAGAUAGUUUUUUAGGAAAAGCAGAUCUUUGAAAUGAAUGUAGAAACUACUCUAAUAUCUAUGGUGCUACCAUUGUUAAUAUAAUUCAUUGGUUAGAUAUACGCCAUAUGGCCUGUAUGGUUAGAUUAUUUUCUUAUAUCAGCUUCCUCUUUUCAAAGCUCUGAUAUUUAGAAGCCAUUUUUGGAAUUUGGCCUUGUAGUGUUUUCCAAUUUCAUCAUGAGUUUUUUUUUUUUUUCCUUUUGGGUUAGCCCCCUAUACAGCUCCAGACAUGAACUUCUUAACCCAGUUGGCCACACUUUGUUAGUUGGAUCAACCCAACUCACUAGUCAUUCCUUGUUUCAUCAAUGGUGAUGGGAAGUAUUUUAUAAGGUUGUCUCUAUUGAACUUUAAAUUGCAAGCAGAAAAGAAAACAAAGAAUUAUGUACCAGAUAGGGAAUCUAAAAAUAGCUGAAUGGAUUCCCUAGAAGUAAAACCCCAUGCACGAGACCAAUCAAAGAAGGUCCCUGCAAAUAAAGCUAGGAGUUGAUCCCCACACUACAAAAAACAUGACUUGUUUCAACCCACUUUUUCCAAGGGUUCACCGAAAAUGGUUGAAACAAACGCUAAAAACUAGCACGCUAAUUAAAAUCUGACCAAUCUUGUUACAAUGGUCAUUAAAGCCCUUGAAAUAAACUAAAACACUAAAUCCCGCAUAAUUGUUGCCUCCAAAUUUUUACAUUCUUCAACGGAAUUCUAAAACAACCUUUAAUAAAAGAUAUCCAAAUAUUUCAACCCUCAGAAUAAAGUCUCUCUCUCACAAACUCAGAAUUCAGAAAACCAAUUUUCGAAUAAAGUCUUUGCUCUCUCUCUCUCUCUCUCUCCCUGUUUGUUUCUCGAGAAAAAAAACCCUAAAUUACCUAAUAGAACUUUUCAAAGAAUUUUUGGUAUUCUAUCUUGUUUUCUCUCUCUCAUUUUCUCCAUUGAUAUUUCUCUUCCUCACCAAUAAUAUAAUUUGGGGCUAGGAUUUGGAUGUUUCUCUCCGUUUGUUUCCCGAGAAAAAAAAACCCUAAAUUACCUAGUAGAACUUUGCAAAGAAUUUUUGGUAUUCUAUCUUGUUUUCUCUCUCUCACUCUCUCCAUUGAUAUUUCUCUUCCUCACCAAUAAUAUAAUUUGGGGCUAGGGUUUGGAUACUUUGGAAAUGGAAUUUCAUACUAGUCUCUUGGAAUCUGAAGAAUUGGUUGGCACUCUCACAGUAUUGGUUAAGUGGCAAGGGGUGGUAGAUGGUUUUAUAUGGGCAUGCUCAGGGGUUUAUGGCCCAAAUGAUAAUAUUGAAAGAGGACACGUGGGAUGAGUUGGUUGGUGUUCAGCAAUACUAGAGGAUACCGUGGUGUUGUUUUAGGGACUUUAAUAUUGUAUGGUUUCCAAGUGAACAUUUGGGUGGAACACGUCUAACUCCGGCUAUGGAAAGAUUCUCUGAAUUUAUUAAGGACCUUAAUUUGAUUGACUUGCCGCUGGAAGGAGGUAGCUAUACUUGGUCUAGUGGUACAAAUCAACCAUCAAUGUCUAGGAUUGAUAGAGCUUUGAUCACUCAUGAUUGGGAGGAACACUAUCCGGAUCUUAUUCAAAGGAUUUUACCUCAUUCCAUUUUAGAUUAUAGUCCAAUUCUUUUGGAGGUGGGGGGAAUGGUGAGGGGGAAGAGUCCUUUCAGGUUUGGAAACAUGUGGUUGAAGACAGAUGGGAUUGUGGAUAGAGUUCAAUCCUGGUGGAAUCGGCAUUCAUUUGUAGGUACAUCUAGUUUUGUGCUUGCUAAGAAAUUAAAGGAUUUGAAGGAGGACAUAAUUUAGUGGAAUCGUAGAGAGUUUGGUAUUGUAGAUCGUCAAAAGAAACAAGAACAAUUGCUGGAGGAGUUGAAAAUUGUAGAUGUUAUGGAAGAGGAGCUUGGGCUCACUAAUGGGGAGAAAUGUUAUAUGGCAGAUUUGAGGUCUCAAGUGGAGUAUCUUCUUUCUUUGGAAGAAAUUUCCUAGAGACAAAAAUCUAGAAUGUUAUGUAUUAAGGAAGGGGAUAAUAAGACCAAGUUCUUCCAUAAGAUGGCAAACUCCCAUAGAAGGUAUAAUCAUCUGAGGAUCUUGGAGGUGGAUGGGGUGGUUUUUGAGGAGGAAUCCAAGGUAACUGCUCAGGUAGUAUAGUCUUAUAAAAAUUUGUAUAAGGAGUAUGAGGGGUGGAGGCCUUUUGUGGAGGGCUUGGAGUUUGAUUGUAUUGGGGAUAUGGAGAGGGUUUGGCUUGAAAGGAAGUUUGAGAGAGAAGAUUUUUCAAGUUGUAAGAGACUUGGAAGGGGACAAAGCUCCAGGUCCGAAUGGGUUUACUAUGGCUUUUUAUCAUCGUUGUUGGAGAGUAGUGGAAAAAUAUGUUUUAGCGGUCUUUGAAGAGCUUUUUCAAUAUUGUAAGUUUGAAAAAUCUCUUAAUGCUACUUUCAUUGCUUUAAUUCAAAAAAGAAUGAUGCCUCGAACAUUAGAGAUUUCCGGCCUAUUAGCUUGGUGGGGAAUGUGUAUAAAAUCUUGGCUAAGGUUUUGGCAAAUUGUCUGAGAAUGGUUUUAGAUUUGUUGAUCUUUGAAACUUAGAAUAGCUCUAUGGGUGGGAGACAAAUCCUUGAUUCGGUUUUUAUUGCAAAUGAUUGUGCUGAUAGUCAAGUGAAGAGUUGGGUUCUUGGGGUCAUAUGUUAACUUGAUUUUGAGAAAGCCUAUGAUCAUGUGAAUUAGGAGGCUUUUCGAGAUUUGUUGAAUAGGAUGGGCUUUGGAGUGAAGUGGUGGUGUAAGUUGAUUUGCACUUGUAUAUCCACAAUUCAGUUCUCUAUCUUGAUUAAUAGGUCUUUAGCUGAUUUUUUUGGUAGCUCAAGGGGAUUAAGACAAGGGGAUCCGCUAUCUCCUAUGCAGUUUUUGAUUAUGAUGGAGGUUUUCAGUAGGAUGUUGAGAAGAGUGGAGGGUGCUGGCUUAAUCUGUGGUUUUAAAGCGGAGGGUAGGAGGGGUGGUGGGUAGGGCUGUCCAACAACCCGUUAGCCCGAACCACCCGUCCGACCCGAAGGCCCACGGGCGGAUCAGAAUGCCUAGACGGGUCGAGUGCGGGUCUCUUAGAGUUAAAAUUUCGGGUUUUUGGUUCAGUUUGGGUUCCAUAUUUACUAACCCGUAGAAACCGACCCGACCCAUGAGAAAUUUAAAAGGAAAAAGGAUGAGUUUCACACGCUUCAGUUUCAGAUUCACGUUCUCCUCUCUCUCUUCUCUCUCUCAAAUCCCUAAACCUAGCCCCCUUCUUACUGUCGCCGUUGUCAAGUUGAUCGCAUUGCCUUCGCUGUUGACUUGUAGUCAUCGUUGCACUCACUAUCCUUAGGUUGAGUCUCGCUCAAACCCCCUCUUUGCCUCUUUUGAUCUGCCAUUGAUCUUGUGCAUCUGAUGGUGAGUCAAAGUUUUUUUUUUUUUUUUUUAAUUAAAUUUUUUUUUUUUAUGUGGUGAUGGUGGAUUAUGGAGUGGUGGUGGUGGUGGUGCUGGUUUAGUAUUUUCUUUCUCUUCGUUUCAGUUUCAUCGAUCUGGGGUUUGUGGACUCAUUUUUGCUAUUUGAUUCUUUGUAGGUUUGGAUUGUGGUUUCUAUCCUUUGGGUUUUUGAUUUUCUCUGAGUUGGCUUCUCGUGCUUGGGUUUUGAUUUUUGGGUUUGGUUUGGGUUUUUUAUUUUCUCUGGGUUGAUUUCUCUGGGUCUGGGUUUUGAUUUCUCUAUUUGCUUCAGACUCGAAAUCACCCGAUGGGUUCGACCUGCUCAACCGAUGACUCGAGUCGACGGGUUCGAUCCGAACAUUCAGUCGGCCACGGGUCUAAUUUCUAUUCACCCGAUUGUAUUGGGUCGGGUGUGGGUCAACCCUAAACCUGAUCCGACCCGACCUGUGGAUAGCCCUAGUGGUGGGGAAUGUGUUUUACAUCUAUUGUUGUUACUUUGUUUUUAGGCUGUGAUAGGUUUGAAGGUCGAUGUGCAGAAGAGUGAAAUGGUUCCAAUAGGAGAGGUAGAUGAUAUGCAUGCCUUGGCUGAAAAUUUGGGCUGCAGAGUUGGAACUUUGCCUGUCUUAUCUUGGCAUGCCGUUGGGGGUUUCGCAUAACUCUCCUUCAAUUUGGAAUCCUAUCUUAGAAAAAAUUGAGCGGAAGUUGGCUGGGUGGAAGAAGUUGUAUUUUUCUAAAGGGGGUAGAUUGACACUUACAAGUUAGCAUAAAGGUGACCACCCGUCGAAGGGGAUGUUAUUCAAGAAUAAAGCCUCCGUUUAGUAUGUGUUGACCCUCUACUCUGUGGAGCAUAAUAAGCAAUACAAAGUCAUCAAGUCUGACACUAAUAGGUUGGUGGUGCGGUGCAUACAUGAGGCAUGUCCAUGGUCAAUUCGGGCUAUUUGCAGUAAGAAGCACGGGAUGUGGGCGAUUAGUAAAUGUAAGGGUCCCCACAAUUGCACAUCCCUCCAGGUAGCGACCGAUGGACGGAUGAUGGAUUUAAGGUUCAUUUCCAUUGCACUUGAGCAGUAUGUAUGAGAGGACAUAACCCGAUCCAUAAAGGACAUGCGUAGUAUGUUGCAUGUGAAGCAUGAGCAUGAUGUAACUAUGUACAAGGUUUGGGAAGCCAAACAGAAGGCAAUUGCGCGUAUUUACGGGGAUUUUGAUGAGUCAUACAUGGAAUUGCCACGGUUUCUAGCGGCAUUGUCCGAUGUAGAUUCGGACACUGUAACUUUGUUAAAGUGCGACCCUCGUGUCUCGGGGACUUAUAUAUUCAACUCCACGUUUUGAGCUUUCGGUCCGUGUAUUAGAGGGUUCAGGCAUUGCAGACCGGUUAUAAGCAUAGAUGCAACGCACCUUUAUGGCAAGUACAAAGGAAACUGUUGAUAGUAAUGGAAACAGAUGGUAACAGCGAGGUUUAUCCACUCAUGUUUGCCAUUGUUGAAAGCGAGAGCAUGGAGACAUGGGGAUGGUUCUUGGCAUGCCUACUGACCUAUGUUAUAGAGCAGACCAAUUUGUAUAUAAUCUCCGAUAGGCAUCGUGAGAUACAAUCAUGCUUUGAUGACACCACUAGCGGCUACUUGGAAGCGCCUUUAACCCAUCAUCGGUAUUGCCUCUGCUAUUUAGUAAGCAAUGUUAACACUAACUUCAAUAGUGUGGCGUUGAAGAACUUGGUAUGGAAGGUAGCCACUGCGAAUCAAGUUAGGAAGUUUGAAAACACCAUGUAUUGCAUCAAGAAUGUCAAUUCAGAUGCGUACGACUAUCUUAAGUCUGUACCUCAAGAAAAGUGGACACUUGCACAUGACCAUGAGCAUCGAUAUGGGGCAACCUGUCAGAG
Quercus robur (English oak) is the source of this 10766-nucleotide RNA transcript. It is a transcript of the gene named serine/threonine-protein kinase ATM-like, with no coding region annotated. The transcript has 5 exons. Lineage: Eukaryota; Viridiplantae; Streptophyta; Magnoliopsida; Fagales; Fagaceae. The record is from RefSeq and is a predicted model, not a curated record.